GAUAAUGUCGAAGUGGAGAGGGUCUAUGAGGUGUUGUGCAAGCCUUAUUGGAUCUAAAACUCUGCACAGGCAUUGCCGACAUCUGCUCGAUAUGUGCAUUUUUUUUAUUGCGACCUACACCUCAGCACCAAUGCAAAACGAAAUCCUCGAAUUGUUGAGAAGACACACUGUCAGGUUCGUGGUCGAUGUUUAUUUGAAAUUAUAUAAAAAUAAUGUUUAAAGAUUUGGCUGUUAUCUCUAGCAUAUAGAAAUACCUUUUAGGCUUAACUAUUUGCUUCUUGAAAAUCAUUAAAAAAUAUUUGAGUCAAUACAUUCAACUAAAAAUUCGAGGUGAUACCCCAGCAUGGCCUCAGUUAUUACAGCAAAUAAAAUAUAAAAAACAAUACAAUUUAUAUCAGAAGUUUUGACCAGGUUAGGCGUCAAGAAAUGUGGGGGCGAAAAAAACCCCGAAAAAUAUAAGCAUGGGGCUUUUGUCCACUUUCACACUUUAAGUAGGAGCUUUUGUCCGUACCCCUGUUCAGCACCCCCAGUUGCAAUCGGCUAGCUACGUGGCUGCUAGUGACUUAGAAGUAAUCAGACGUUAGCAAUAAUUUUCAGAUGAAUUUACACGUUAUGAAAACUAAAACUAAUGAAAAAAAAAAAAAAAGCGAAUACAGAAGAUGGAAAUAUGCCAUUCAGUGAACAUUCUGAUCAUUUUAAAUGUAGGUGUGAAACAUUUGCUGUCCUCAUUUUCAUAGUCCCCUUCGUAAAAAAUAUUGGGAGUAACGGUCUCCAAUGUCAAGUUCCAAUAUCAUGAUCUAAUUUUCUGGUGAAUUGACUUGCGACAUGUUCAGAAAACUAUAAAUAACGACAAAAAAAAAAAAAAAAAAAAAAAGAGACUAGGCCACAACGGAGACUAGAUCAUCCAACACUAGUUCAAGUAAAUUUGAACCAACUGAAAACAAGCAUCAUUUGGUGUCAAAAUAUUUUUAUGCACCAAUGAUUCUACUAUUUACUGGCUGGUUUCACCAGCUAGUAACAAGAAUCUGGCUAGUUUAACAGAUUUAGAAGCAAUCGUUAGAAAUAUACGUUUAUGAAGAAUUCACAUGCGAUAUGUUAAAAAAACUAAACUAUAAAUACAGGAAAAGGAAAAACGAUAUAAAAAUAAAUGUGGAACUUCUUGUCAAUAUACCAUUCGGUCAAUGACUUUCAGAUAAUUGUAAACGUAUGAAUAAAUUCGGAGUCCUCAUUUAUAGAAUCUUGUCCGCAAAAAUCUCGAGGCCAGUCCUCCCAUCGAGAUCAAACGAUACACUUGGACUGUAUAUCCCAGUUUUGAAAAUGGUACAUUAGCACAAUGAUGUCCACGUAGGCCAUAUGCGGCAUCUACAUCCGAACUAGAUCGUGAUAUCUCUCGAGGGACAACGCAUGUAAGACCGAAACUCCCGGGGCUAGAAAUAGCCUUUCUCGACCUAGCCAAAGCCUUCGAUACUGUCUCGCAUUCCCUCGUUUCUGCGGGCAUGAGGAGGCUCGGUUACCACGACCACCUGAUUCGAUUAGUGGGACAGCUAUACGAGGGCUGUACCACUACCUUCACGAUAGGGACCGGUAGUAGCGCGCCCAUUGAGAUAAAGCGCGGUGUUCGACAGGGAGACGCCCUAUCACCCUUUUAACAUCGCGACCGAUCCACUGCUGGACAGCCUGCCCGCAAAUAUGGGUCUGCAGGUCGGAGGUGCGGUCGUGGCGGGCCUCGCAUACGCGGAUGACUUAGUGCUAGUCUCCGGCUCUAGCCGGGGUCUACAGUGCCUCUUAGAUCGGUGCUCGGAGUCCUACCAAGCGGUGGGGCUCUCCAUUAACGUUUCCAAGUGCGCGUGGUUCUCCAUUCGAAAUUGGAGAAAGUCUUUAGUCAAUGCGUCAUCGCCGCCGACACUAUGGUUGUCCGGUACCACGAGUCGAGCCGGAUGAAAGCGUGCCGUACUUAGGGAUGAGGGUUCGUCCCCGGUCGACACAGAAUAGGGGAACAUCAGAUGAGAACAUAACGCGAUGCAUAAACGAACUACGCCGGGCACCGCUAAAGAAGUUUUUGAUGCUACAACAGUAUUACCUGCCUAGUCUGUUUUACAGGCUGACACAGGCGAUACCCACUAAGGUGGCGUUAGAGAAAUUGGAUAUGAUUGUACGAGGUGGGGCGCGAAGAAUGCUCCAUCUCCCGGACUCGACCUCGAAAAGCUUCCUGUACAGCGCAAGAAGGGACGGAGGGUUGAACCUCUGUCAGUUGGCGCGCGCUAUACCGAAGAACGUGAUUCGUAGGAACCUGCGUUUACUGGGCUCCGAAUAUGACGCUGUUCGCAUGAUAGCUCAGGCUGCCGAUCUCGCCCAUCAAAACGAGGAGCUAUCCGCCCUGUUCGAUCUACCAUCUGUCCGAAAUGAUGGCAAUCCAUACGCCCCUGACCUCCGCCUCAUCCAUGCCAAGAGAUGGGCCUCGCAACCGGUCCAGGGAGUGUGUGCUGCCGCCUUCAAAUCGGACCCGAUUGGAAACAGUUGGCUGACACGACUGGGUUGAAUCUCGGAGGGAUGCUACUUGGGGAUACUCAAGAUGAGGACCAACACGUUUCCCACACGUGAAUGCCUCACCCGUGGAGGUCGUGGCGAUAGCACCUGCAAAAGGUGCGGAAGUGCGUCUGAAACGAUCUCCCACAUCAGUGGCCAGUGCUCACGCCUCAAAACAAAGAGACUGACCAGGUACACUCGAAUAUGCCGACUGUUGGCUAGGGAAGCUGAGCGGUAUGGGUGGAUGACCGGCUGGGAGCCGGUUUAUCGAGUAUCGGGGUCCAGAUAUAUCCCCGAUUUAGUGUUUCACAACUCUAGCGAGGUUGUCAUCGUUGAUGUUACCGUCCGAUAUGAGCAGGACACGGCGUUGAGUGACGCUGCGCGCGAGAAAGAGAAAAUACCGGCCGCUAAUUCCGCUCCUCCGAGGGGAGCUGGGUGUACUGGUACGAGUGUUCGGCUGCCCGAUAGGGGCCUGCGGCGCAUGGUGCUCAGAGGCCGAGGAAGCAUUGGCAGCACUGCACAUUAAAGACAAACGUUUCAUGAGGCUGCUAAGCAGAACUGCAAUGAUCUGCACGUUUAACAUGUUAAGGAAUUGAUAGGCUUAAGGAAUUGAUGCCACUCGAGUUCCUGUCGGAUCCGACACGGAAUACCCCUUCGAUGAGGUCCUCACCUGGAUUUUUUUUUGAGGACUGGUGUGUCGGAGACCCCUCAGUUUUAAAAAAAAUUUUUAAAGUUUUAUUUAAUUUUUUUUCUACGAGGUGGUAGCAAGGCCUGUGUACCUUGCUUCGGCAGGAACUUUGAUUUAUAUACCGAUUUUGAAGAAAAUUUUGUAGUGUCCCAUCUAUGUCGCCCCCUAGUGAGUAAUAAAGAAAAUCAUUUGCAACACCACUAUCUCCUUCACCAAUUCGUUGUAGAAAAGAGCGAAAUUAAAAGUACUAAACUGCUGAGAAUUUGUUUAAGAAACUUCGUCAAAUAUCUCUUAUAGACCAACAAUACGGAAACCUAAAGGUAAGUUCACCGUGAAGAAAAUUCACCGAGGAAAUAUAUCCAUAGUAAGAGUUAAAAACUAUUUUAUCGGAAAAGAGAAAAAACGGUGAAUUUUCUUUGAGAUGAAUUUAUAGCGGUGAACUUACUGGAUAUAGCUCUCUUUUUUUUUUUUUUACUUUGAAUUUAUUCGAUAUAUUUUUAAAUAUUCAAAUGCUUGUAAGAAUUGUAAACUGACUUUAUAAUUAUUUUUUUUAUUUUAUGUGCAAACAUAGUAAUGGAAUGGUUUGGAUUCAGUAGAUUACAUUGUAAUUUUAUCUUGCAGUAACAUUCUAUCCAGGUGUAAAAAUAUUUCUCUCGCAAAUAUUAAUUCAAAAAUGUAUUAAUUUCAAUGAAUACUGUCUUUCAAAUCACGGUACUACGUGCGACAGACGAGAAUACCAAGCGACGCCACACCACGGAUGCCGCCCAGGGGGCGUUCAGAUGGACCUGACGGGGGAGAGGAAAACCCUGGACUCGACAUAAGAAAGAAAGAGAAGAGGAAAAAGGAAAGAAGAAAAGAGACAACAAUCGUCUGACAGACGAGAAUACCAAGCGACGCCACACCACGGAUGCCGCCCAGGGGGCGUUCAGAUGGACCUGACGGGGGAGAGGAAAACCCUGGACUCGACAUAAGACCCGGUUAUGACAACCGCCGAAAUGAAGUCUGGCGCCGUGAAUUCGAUCACUGGCCAUGGCAGAGCGGGACGGGCAAACAUCGGAUGGACAGCGUGCGCGUCGCUAUCGACGGAGUGCGUGUGGGACCGCCCACAUAAAAUAACAGGGAAAGAGUGUGAGAAAAUCUAUAAUACCAUAGCCAAAUGCCUCGUCAUCUAAUUAGUGACGCGCAUGAACGGAUCAACGAGAUUCCUACUUUCCCUAUCUACUGUCUAGCGAACGGGCUUGGACGGAUCGGCGGGGAAAGAAAACCCUGUUGAGCUUGACUCAGAAGUCAUAGACAUUAUGAACACAAAACUGGGAGUGAUAGUUGAAGAGAGAAAACCUCGCCGUUUUAAAUGUGGGCUUUGAAGGUCACGUAAGGACUGAAUGCAAGAAAAAAACAGAAAAAGAAGGCGAGGAGGAAGACAACCAAGUGGCAACAAAAGAAAUAGAGAAACAGAAUGAUAAUCAACAGUUAUCGCCAAGCUAAUUUGGCAGUCCAUAAAUAUAAGACUGCAGAUGCCUGACCAGCAAGGGGAAGCGGCUGACCUCCCCUUUUCAAUGGUUAUAAUGGACACAUGUUCGUGUGUCAUAUAGCUAGCUAGAGGCGAUGGCCUCUUGGAGCUAAUCAACGGCAGCUUUAGUCUUAUAGUUCACUUGGUCAGUUACAGUGAUCAUAAAUUUGUCAUUUGUAAGCUGGAACUAGAUAAGUUAAAUAGUAGAGGCUCCGGCUACUGCAAACUCAAUAAGUCCCUUUUGGCGAUUGAGGAGUAUACGAAACGGAUUAAGUUAUUGAUAUAGAGGGCAUUGACAAGAAGCAUAAUUUACAAUAAAAGGUAGUACGCCCUAAAAAGAGCCAUCAAAUUUGAGUAUUAGAUAUAGCAUAGGUUUAGUGAACGUAAGAGGGAAGUAGAACUAGCUAAGACCUUAGAGGAAGCCGUGAUGACUGGCAGUACAUCUCAGGUGAAGGCAAAGAGACUGGAAUUAAACCAGCACCUCGAAGCCAAACACAUGGGGUGUAUUGUCAGGGCUAGACUUCGUGCAAUGGGUUGCGAGGGGAUCAGAGCCGCUGGAUGGGCCCCGAGUGGUGGAAGCCCAACGUGGAAAUGAUUCCACAAUUCGAUCUUUGGAGAACCUACAAGGUGAGUUGGUAAACGAGCCUGAGGAGAUAUGUAAGACUUUUCAGGAGCACUUCGCCCAGCAUUUCGGGGGUGGGGAGCGAUGGACCGGAUAGUGCUUCUCGGAAAGCACACGAUGAACGAAAGUCUGAACCAACUGAAAUAUGUUAUCAGUUGGGGGUUUCUUUCUGCUGGAUUUUGCAAAAUAUUACUUUUUAUACACCAUUGUAUCCACUGA
Long non-coding RNA from Octopus sinensis (East Asian common octopus), 5565 nucleotides. RefSeq lists it as uncharacterized. The transcript has 3 exons. NCBI's taxonomy places the organism in Eukaryota, Metazoa, Mollusca, Cephalopoda, Octopoda, Octopodidae. The record is from RefSeq and is a predicted model, not a curated record.